AUACGGAGGAUCCGAGCGUUAUCCGGAUUUAUUGGGUUUAAAGGGUGCGUAGGCGGCCUUUUAAGUCAGCGGUGAAAGUCUGUGGCUCAACCAUAGAAUUGCCGUUGAAACUGGGGGGCUUGAGUAUGUUUGAGGCAGGCGGAAUGCGUGGUGUAGCGGUGAAAUGCAUAGAUAUCACGCAGAACCCCGAUUGCGAAGGCCGACUGCAAAGCCAUGACUGACGCUGAUGCACGAAAGCGUGGGGAUCAAACAGGAUUAGAUACCCUGGUAGUCCACGCAGUAAACGAUGAUCACUAGCUGUUAGCGAUACACUGUAAGCGGCACAGCGAAAGCGUUAAGUGAUCCACCUGGGGAGUACGCCGGCAACGGUGAAACUCAAAUGAAUUGGCGGGG
This 393-nucleotide ribosomal RNA is filed under the name uncultured bacterium. RNAcentral's name for it is "partial 16S ribosomal RNA". It matches the Rfam family "Bacterial small subunit ribosomal RNA", at positions 523 to 918 of the family's 1533-position model. The record is from RNAcentral.